Molecule: unclassified non-coding RNA, 214 nt
Filed under: Arabidopsis thaliana (thale cress)
Lineage: Eukaryota; Viridiplantae; Streptophyta; Magnoliopsida; Brassicales; Brassicaceae
Description: partial MIR399c microRNA precursor
Source: RNAcentral
AACCAACCAGCCUUCUCUCAAAGCAAACCAAAAAGAAAAACCAACAUUGAAAGAGGAAGUUACGAUAAGCGGAGCAGUAAUAGGGCAUCUUUCUAUUGGCAGGCGACUUGGCUAUUUGUAUCUUUUGUGUUCUUGACUAUUGGCUAUGUCACUUGCCAAAGGAGAGUUGCCCUGUCACUGCUUCCGCUUAAACACAGUCUAUAACCGGUUCUGC